AUAAAAGCAAUUUCUAACUUCCCCAGAAUUGUUCAGGACUCGAUCGGGUGGAAGAAGAGUCUCCAUUCCAAC
Non-coding RNA from Caenorhabditis elegans, 72 nucleotides. Ensembl annotates it as ncRNA. Its record names the gene Y37E11B.16. The record is from Ensembl. NCBI's taxonomy places the organism in Eukaryota, Metazoa, Nematoda, Chromadorea, Rhabditida, Rhabditidae.